CCUACGGGAGGCAGCAGUGGGGAAUAUUGGACAAUGGGCGAAAGCCUGAUCCAGCAAUGCCGCGUGAGUGAUGAAGGCCUUAGGGUUGUAAAGCUCUUUUACCCGGGAUGAUAAUGACAGUACCGGGAGAAUAAGCUCCGGCUAACUCCGUGCCAGCAGCCGCGGUAAUACGGAGGGAGCUAGCGUUAAUUCGGAAUUACUGGGCGUAAAGCGCACGUAGGCGGCUUUGUAAGUAAGAGGUGAAAAGCCUGGUGCUCAACACCAGAACUGCCUUUUAGACUGCAUCGCUUGAAUCCAGGAGAGGUGAGUGGAAUUCCGAGUGUAGAGGUGAAAUUCGUAGAUAUUCGGAAGAACACCAGUGGCCGAAGGCGGCUC
RNAcentral lists this ribosomal RNA (375 nucleotides) under uncultured bacterium. Its description in RNAcentral is "bacterial SSU rRNA". It matches the Rfam family "Bacterial small subunit ribosomal RNA", at positions 338 to 727 of the family's 1533-position model. The record is from RNAcentral.